GACGAACGCUGGCGGCGUGCUUAACACAUGCAAGUCGAACGGAAAGGCCCUGCUUUUGUGGGGUGCUCGAGUGGCGAACGGGUGAGUAACACGUGAGUAACCUGCCCUUGACUUUGGGAUAACUUCAGGAAACUGGGGCUACUACCGGUUAGGAGCUCCUGCUGCAUGGUGGGGGUUGGGAAGUUUCGGCGGUUGGGGAUGGACUCGCGGCUUAUCAGCCUGCUGGUGGGGUAGUGGCUUAGCAAGGCGUUGACGGGUAGCCGGCCUGAGAGGGUGACCGGCCACAUUGGGACUGAGAUACCGCCCAGACGCCUACGGGAGGCAGCAGUGGGGAAUAUUGCACAAUGGGCGGAAGCCUGAUGCAGCAACGCCGCGUGCGGGAUGACGGCCUUCGGGUUGUAAACCGCUUUCGCCUGGGACGAAGCGGGAGUGACGGUAAUGGGUAAAGAAGCACCGGCUAACUACGUG
Molecule: ribosomal RNA, 468 nt
Filed under: uncultured bacterium
Lineage: Bacteria
Description: partial 16S ribosomal RNA
Rfam family: Bacterial small subunit ribosomal RNA
Source: RNAcentral